Non-coding RNA from Pelobates cultripes (western spadefoot toad), 397 nucleotides. The record is from the annotation of a GenBank genome assembly. NCBI's taxonomy places the organism in Eukaryota, Metazoa, Chordata, Amphibia, Anura, Pelobatidae.
GUGAGACUGCAGGGACAUGUUCUAUACACCAAAACUGCUUCAUUAAGCUAAAGUUGUUCAGGUGACUGCAGUGUCCCUUUAACCCCUUAAGGACCAAACUUCUGGAAUAAAAGGGAAUCAUGACAUGUCACACAUGUCAUGUUUCCUUAAGGGGUUAAACAAGAAAUUCCUGUUUUGCUAGUUACAAGUCAGAUAAUUCAAAUAACUUUGUGUCUUUUUUUUUUCCUUUUAAACAAUGCGGGUGUAAAGGCGAAUAAUCUUAGCUAACUGAAAAGUGCUUUGUAGAGUCCCUAGAGGUGUACUAUGUUAACUGUAACCUGGGGGGUGGUGGGGGGGUGAAUGUAUUUUGGCACACCCCUCACCCCCCAAACUGCAGAAUUGUUUGUUUUUUGUCUUU